This 769-nucleotide long non-coding RNA is filed under the name Bos taurus (domestic cattle). RNAcentral's name for it is "long non-coding RNA NONBTAT022172". The record is from RNAcentral. Lineage: Eukaryota; Metazoa; Chordata; Mammalia; Artiodactyla; Bovidae.
UAGAGAGUCUUCCACUUUAUUUUGCACAUGUGGGAGAGUUCUGUGGCUCUAGAAAAGAGGAGUACCUAUAACAAAUCUUACAGAGAAAACUGAGUUAUUUCAUCUGUAUUUGAGGUCUAAAAAGUUAAUAUGGACUUUUUAUUUCACAUACUCCACCCCAUUUCAAAGAAAAAUUAAUUCACUGAGUUCAACCUAGAAACAAAGAUCAUCUUUUCUCUUUCUUAAAAUGCUCCUUGGUCUAAAGGUCUAUAUUUAAAUGGUGGAAAUAAUCUGCUUUCCUGGUCUUCUUAGAGAGGGAAGAGUUGACUUUUGGGCAAGUUACCAAAUGACAAUAUUGGCGAAAAUUAUAGGAGCCUGAGCCUGGGAUAGAGGACACCCCAGCUCUCAUUCCUCAUUGGGGAAAAAUGCUUCACUAUAUAAAGAGGUACCUCUAGUUCAUUAUAACUUGGAAAUCAUAAGAGCGAUGUUUUCAUAGUCUCAGAGAUACAUUUAGAAACCCCAAAGGGUGGAGUUAUUAAUUCCAACAGAAAUACUUCAAACUUUUUUCUUUGCAAUUUGAGCUCGAUGUGGGCACGUUGGACUUGCUGGUCAGUUAUGGGAGCAGGAAAGAGGAUUAGGAAUGGAAAUACUGCAAGGGUGUCUUCAGAAUCCACAGGAAAAAACUGACCGAGAGGUUGAUGUCAGCCCAACCUUGGCUAGCUUCCACCAUGGUGAGCAAAACAUAGGAGACCAGAUGGCCACGCUAGCCCCCUGGGAAGCCUUCUGCUGG